UAGAGUUCUAUUCUGGCUCAGAACGAACGUUGGCGGCGUGGAUUAGGCAUGCAAGUCGAACGAAUCCCUGGGGGCUUGCUCCCAUGGGGAAGUGGCGAAAGGGGCAGUAAUGUAUGGGUAACCUACCCCGAGAUCCGGGAUAGCCACGGGAAACCGUGGGUAAUACCGGGCGACGCAGCGGAGUCACAUGGCUCUGCUGCCAAAGGUCCGCUGUCUUGGGAGGGGCUCAUAUGGUAUUAGCUAGUUGGUGGGGUAAUGGCCCAUCAAGGCAAAGAUGCCUAGCUGGUGUGAGAGCACGACCAGCGCCACUGGCACUGAGACACUGGCCAGACUCCUACGGGAGGCUGCAGUCGAGAAUCUUCGGCAAUGGGCGAAAGCCUGACCGAGCGACGCCGCGUGUGCGAUGAAGGCCUUCGGGUUGUAAAGCACUGUCAGGGGGGAGCAAAUCAAUGAGCGAUCCCCAGAGGAAGCACGGGCUAAGUUCGUGCCAGCAGCCGCGGUAAGACGAACCGUGCGAACGUUGUUCGGAAUCACUGGGCUUAAAGGGCGCGUAGGCGGUCUGCCAAGUCGGUGGUGAAAUCUUUCGGCUUAACCGGAAAAGUGCCAACGAUACUGGCGGACUUGAGGGAGGUAGGGGCAGAUGGAACUUCGGGUGGAGCGGUGAAAUGUGUUGAUAUCCGAAGGAACGCCGGUGGCGAAAGCGAUCUGCUGGACCUCUACUGACGCUGAGGCGCGAAAGCCAGGGGAGCAAACGGGAUUAGAUACCCCGGUAGUCCUGGCCCUAAACGA
Molecule: ribosomal RNA, 789 nt
Filed under: uncultured bacterium
Lineage: Bacteria
Description: bacterial SSU rRNA
Rfam family: Bacterial small subunit ribosomal RNA
Source: RNAcentral